AACACUCGGGCCAAGUAAACUUGAGAGGUUUAAUACGUGCAUGUAUUAAGUGCUGCAAGACUUCAAGGAAGCUUUCAAGCCAAUGAACUCUAAAUUGUAUGGAAAGGAAAAUGCAGGAAAUGGGAUCUCACUCCAUCACUCAGGCUGGAGUACAGUGCUGAGAUCAAGGCUCACUGCAGCCUUGAACACCUGGACUCAAGUGAUUCUCCUGCCUCAGCCUCCUGAGUAGCAGAGACUACAGAGCCUCAUUCUGUUGCCCAGGCUGGAGUGCAAUGGCAUGAUCUCAGUUCACUGUGACCUCUGCCUCCCUGGUUCAAGUGAUUCUUCUGCCUCAGCCUCCCAGGUAGCUGGACUAAAGGGAGCCAGCUUUCAACAAGUCUGCUGGAGUUUGCUAGGGGUCCACUCCAGACCCUGUUUGCCUGGGUAUCGCCAGUGGAGGCUGCAGAACAGCAAAAAUUGCUGCCUGUUCCUUUCUCUGGAAGCUUCGUCACAGAGGGGCACCUGCCAGAUGCCAGCCGGAGCUCUGCUGCGAGCUGCAAACCAGAGCUGUUCCUAUUCAACCAUCUUGCCCACCUAGCAAGACAGGCCAAGAUUCAAAUUCAAAAAUUACAGAGAAUACCACAAAGAUAAUCCUCAAGAAGAGCAACCCCAAGACACAUAAUUGUCUGAUUCACAAAGAUUGAAAUGAAGGAAAAAAUGUUAAGGGCAGCCAGAGAGAAAGGUUGAGUUACCCAUAAAGGGAAGCCCAUCAGACUGACAGCAGAUCUCUCUACAGAAACCCUACAAGCCAGAAGAGACUGGGGGCCAAUAUUCAAUAUUCUUAAAGAAAAGAAUUUUCAACCCAACAUUUCGUAUCCACCCAAACUAAGCUUGAACCAGGUUUUCUCUCUGGUUGUAGUACACUCUUGCUGUCUGUCUUUCUUGCCUUCUUUCUGCACAUUUUCCUUUUAGGAAAUCAAGACAUAUUUCACUUCCUUGAAGGGGUUUGAGAUUGAUAAAAAGAAAUGUGAAGAGAAAGAAGAUAAUUUUUUUCUUUUUCUGGUCCAUAUAAAGAUGAUGCUCUAACCCUCCUCCCUUACAAGCAUGUGUACCUAUCAAAAGAAAACUUAGAAAUUUGAAUCUUGAGUUUACAUUUAAGUCAUAGCACGGAGAGGAUUGAGAAUGUGGCACAAUGGAAUUCUCAUCCCUACUAUUUCUAAAUCACUCAGCAAACUGAAGCUAGGUCUCUUUGCAUGGUUUCCAGAGGCGUCAUGAUGGAAUGGAUACAGAAAAUGGACAAAAUACUCAAAAUUUAUGUCUUGGUUCUCACCACUCACUCAUGGUUGAGACUCAUUGUCUACCUGUGCAGAUACGGCAUUGAUGGAGGCUGGUGUGUAAGUGAAAAAGCCACAAAUAAUGAUACUUCCCUGUUGAGUUCUAUUAAUACACAGUCAAUCUGUAAGUUAUUCAGUAACACCACUGAGGGAGCAAAAAUGUAGCUGAGACAAGAGCUUUUAUGCCUCCCACUAAGCUGCACUUUCAAGGGGGCAAGGUAACCCUGAAGGUGGAGUAGGAAAUUAGACAUUUUAACUGAGGAACCAUGCAGAUUGUGCCCAAGAGUCAGAGAAGUACAUUUUCUGCUAAUAAAGAAAUGGAGACAAUGAAUUAGGGAAAACAACUGUGAUCCUGGGAGCUAAUAAAAUCACAGACUGCCAGUGCUAAGACAACAUCCCACAUCUUUCAACAGCCUCUAAAUUCAUCAGCAGGAGGCCACACCAGGUACACAGGAUGAGCAAAGCCAGAGACUUACACUCAGAAAAUGAACUGUGACCACAUUUUCUUCUUGAAAUUAGAUGCCAUAUUAGGGAGUAAGAAAAGUUAGGGAGAAACAACCCUGAUAAGAACUUGAAUUUUAAAUGGUUUGAAUACUAAUACAAAAGAGAUUAAGUUAAACAUUUUUUUAAACAAUGAUUUUCACUUUGUCUUAUCUUUCUUAUAGGUUGGUGGCCUCUGAUGAAGGUAUUCCAAAUAUAGACAUU
Molecule: long non-coding RNA, 2018 nt
Organism: Homo sapiens (human)
Lineage: Eukaryota; Metazoa; Chordata; Mammalia; Primates; Hominidae
Product: long intergenic non-protein coding RNA 410
Source: Ensembl